UUUGUUUUUGCAGUGUUUCUGAUAUAAACCCCUUUAGAGCUGCUUAGCUGAGAACCUUUUUGUAAUAUGCAUUGCAUCCUGCUUGCUAUGAUAAUAGAAAAAAAUCCUUCUUUAUACGCUCAUGAUUUCAAGUUUGCCCAUCUACGGGUUCCAUGACUGUUUGGAAACAGAUGAGCAAUUAGUAUGAUCUGUUGUGGAAAGUUAAAUACAAGCCAGAGAGGGCACAAGGCAGCAUCAACAGAAGUAUGGACUUGCAGAAGGUAUAUUGCACAGCACUGUGCACAGGAAUGGGGAGAGUGGAUCCCAGAUUCCAUCUGAAGCAAGUUCCAAGUUCACUCCUGCUCCAAGGAAAUGGUGGGCAGCUUGGAGGGGAGCUGCCAAAUUCAAAUGAUGUCUUGAACUCUGGAGUUUCCAGAUGAGCUCUCACCAGACUAGGUUUCACACCACCUGCAUUAGGCCCUUCUGCAUCCAGCUGAGCUGGACAACAUGAGAGACAACUCCUUGGGCCUUUGGAACCUCUGCUUUCCAUUCUGGCAAGGGAAUAAGGUCAACGGACAGAUUUGCUGGUUGAAGAAGGAGGCAAGUGACUGAAUGGGGAGGAGAGCAGCUGAGGUUAACUGCUUUCUCCUGUUGGUCCCCUGGAUCUUUUUGUCAGUGCAAUAGCAGCUGGAUCUCCCAGGAAGCUGAAAUUCCAGAAGCAUCUGAGAAAAACAGCAAAAUACAAUAAAGUGGAAAAGCUCUAGG
This is a long non-coding RNA of Vidua chalybeata, 744 nucleotides long. RefSeq lists it as uncharacterized. Lineage: Eukaryota; Metazoa; Chordata; Aves; Passeriformes; Viduidae. The transcript has 6 exons. The record is from RefSeq and is a predicted model, not a curated record.